This is a long non-coding RNA of Brassica napus (rape), 2465 nucleotides long. RefSeq lists it as uncharacterized. Lineage: Eukaryota; Viridiplantae; Streptophyta; Magnoliopsida; Brassicales; Brassicaceae. The transcript is spliced from 2 exons. The record is from RefSeq and is a predicted model, not a curated record.
AAGUACCAUUCGGUUUUUACUAAUUAUCGGAUCGGGUUUGGUUCGGUUCCUUCCGGGUUCGGUUCGGAUCGGAUUUAACCAAUGUUUAAAAUCGUACAAAAAUAUAUUUUUAAGAACCUCGAAAAUUGACCAAAUUUUUUUCAAAAUAUAUAAAUUAUUUACAAAUCUAAUUAAAAAUUAGUUAAACUAUCUAAAUUAACUAAAAAGUAUUCAAAAUAACAAAUAAAACAAACUACAAAAAUAUUUUGAAUACUCUAAAAUAUCUAAAUCACCUUAAUAUAUAUAAAAACAUUAACAUAUUUAACUAAUUUCGGAUAUCAUCGGAUCCAAAUUCGGAUUUCGGUUCGGUUCGGGUUAUAACCAAAGUCCAAAGUAGUAAGCUCAUAAGUCCCAUUUGGAUAUUUUUGUAAAACAGUUCAGAUUCGGUUUCGGUUUUUCCGGUUCGGGUUAAGGUCGGUACUUCGGGUUGAGUUAAAAACGCUCAGGCCUAGUUCAGAGAAAUCUCUUCAAACAAAUACUACUAGUAAUAAUACUAUUCACUUACAUUUCUAUAAUCCUAUUCAAAUCCAUUUGUUAAAAAAAAUCAAAUCAAAUCCAUUAACUCUGACUUAUAAACAGUGCACACACUGAUUUCUCUCCUACCUCACUCUCCAAAAUAAUUUGAAUAAAUCCACCUCUAAAUAUAAAAAUUAAUUUUAAAAAAAAUACAAAACGAGAUUUUAAAAGUAAAUAAAAAAGGAACAGACACUUAGAGCAAUCCCAACGGUAAGAAAACUCGAGCUAAAAAUUAAAUAAAUCAAACUAAAAUAGAAUCCAACCAAUUUUUGAGUAAAUUUCUGUAGAACUAGAGGGUUAAUAUAUUUUUAAAUUAUGUUAUUAUUGAAUGACAUACAUUUACAUAUAUAUAUAUACAUAAAAUUUUAAACAUAUAAUAUAAUGUAUCUAAAUCUUAUAAUAUAUAUUUAAAUCAACUAAUUUUUAUCAAAAUAAGAUUUAUAUAAUAUGUUUUGGUUUGGAUUUUAAAUUUUACGAGCUUUCUUUUAUAAACAGACUGUAAAAAUCUAUAAUAGAUAACUUCCUAAACUAUUUCUAAUAUUUUCUCUAUCAAAUUUAGAAAAUGAGGUGUGAACUAGAUUAUUAGUCAAUAAAAAUAUUUGUGAAAAAUAUUAUUCGACCCGUUCGUUUUAAGUUUUUUUUUUUUAAGUUUUCCUCGUUGUGACUGUUUAUGCUGACAUCACGGCCAACAACAAGUGCUAACGUCAUCAACGGUCAUUGUCGUUCCACACACCAAAGACCAAAUUUCAACUAUGGAGUGUCGCUGCUAUGCCUCUCUUAUCUUUUCCUUUACCUCAUGCUCAUAACAAAUAAUAGUAUAUACCUAUAAGAGAUAUUGCCUUAAUCACUAAUCGACCACAAGAUCGAAUACGUAAACCAUUUUUCUUGAUAUUCAAGUCACAUCAAGAUGCAGACUACGUAUAAUAUUCCUUUUCCUCUUCGUCCUAUAUAUGACCACGGGUGUCAAUUGGUUGGGCCACCCAUGGGCUAACCCAUUCCAAACAAACAUGGGUGGGUGAUGGUCAUACCCAAAUAAUUAAUGGUCCAAUUGGGUUAAAAACCCACUUUGCCCAUGGGUUAAUUGUUCCAAACCAAAUGGAUGUUGGGCUGGCCCAAAAACUUAAUUUCUAGGGUUUAGAGAAUUUAGGAAAAAAUCAAUCAGAAAUAAUUUUUCCCGAUUCUUUCUGCAACCAACGAUUUUUUCCUCCCAGAUUUCUCUUCGUCUACUGUUCUUGUGUUCAUCAAUCCAUACGAUUCUCUCUUCCCUCCCAUCGAUUCCCUUCUUCAUUUCUCUACAAUUUCAGGUAUGAUUCGAUUUUAGCUCUGAUCUCGCGAUUUCUCUACUUUAUGUGUUGUGGGUUUUGUGGGUUUUGUGGAUGAUAAUCUCGUUUCCAUUGUUUCCAUUGUUUACUCUAGUUCUGAUGAUGAUGAUGAAUCGUUUAGAAUAUUGUUUUGUUUUGGGUUGACGUGUAUUGUAUUUCUCUUUAAAUGCAGGUUUCGUUUCUGCUCGGAGUCAUCCUUGUCUUCAUAGCUUGGAUAUACUCAGAGUUUCUGGAGUACAAGAGUGAGAGAGCAAACGUUGGGAGAGAGUGAGAAAAUCAAGCGUUGACGUUGAGUAUAUUCUUGUGUGUUUACUUAUCAAAUCACAUCCUUUUACGAACAGGUAUUAGAGCAAGAAAGUCAACAAUAUUUGGGGAUCAAUAUGUGCAUUUCAACGUCAGCAUCCCUACGCUGAAGACAAGUAAAGAAGCUGGAAGCUGGAGCAAAGUGAAUCAUGAUAUCAGAGUUAUAACAUUUUUUUUACAUAAAACAGAGAGUUAUGAAAAACUGAAGUCUAUUGAAUUUAAUUUACAUCACAUUUGUAUUCAGAAAUUUUCAAUGACAUUAAAAUUGAGUUUAAAUUGAGUUUA